GUCGUGAGAUGUUGGGUUAAGUCCCGCAACGAGCGCAACCCUUGUCAUUAGUUGCUACAUUUAGUUGGGCACUCUAAUGAGACUGCCGGUGACAAACCGGAGGAAGGUGGGGAUGACGUCAAGUCCUCAUGGCCCUUAUGGGUAGGGCUUCACACGUAAUACAAUGGCGCGUACAGAGGGUUGCCAAGGAGCGAUCUGGAGCCAAUCCCUUUCAAAGCGCGUCGUAGUCCGGAUUGCAGUCUGCAACUCGACUGCAUGAAGUCGGAAUCGCUAGUAAUCGCGGAUCAGCAUGUCGCGGUGAAUACGUUCCCGGGUCUUGUACACACCGCCCGUCACACCAUGGGAGUGGGUUUCACCAGAAGCCGGUCGCUUAACCUGAAAGGGAUGGCGCCGACCACGGUGAGAUUCAUGACUGGGGUGAAGUCGUAACAAGGUAGCCGUAUCGGAAGGUGCGGCUGGAUCACCUCCUUUCUAGAGAAACGGCGUUUCAUUCAGCGCCCACCAUCUAUCGGUUGUUCUUAAGCCAGGCGAGCGUGCUUGCGGGGUCUGUAGCUCAGUUGGUUAGAGCACACGCUUGAUAAGCGUGGGGUCGAUGGUUCAAAUCCAUCCAGACCCACCAGUUUUAAGCGGCGCAUUCGAAACGGGGGAGAAGACCCCGGGGGGGCCAUAGCUCAGCUGGGAGAGCGCCUGCUUUGCAAGCAGGAGGUCACCGGUUCGAUCCCGGUUGGCUCCACCAGCAUUUGGCGGGAUUCAAAGAGCGAGGAAUCAGCAAUCAGCGUCGCUUGAGUGCGAGGUUGAUUGGUGCUUCUUCUUCAGGAAGCCUGAUCGGCUGAUCUUUAACAAUCUGGGAUAGAAGGUAGUUGUUCUUGCGAAAGGGUGAUUGUGAUGAUCGCUUGAGUAGUGGGGACACUGGGUUAUGUAUUGCAUCGUGUUUCCGCGCUUGAGAAUUCGGGCGUGGGAUGCACAAACUUAAGCGUGAGAGUUACCUAUGAUCGAGUGAUGGCGUGAGCGACUUUGGUUUGCGUCGCCUUCGUUUAGGAGGCAGCAAGGUUAUAGGGUCAAGCGAAUAAGUGCAUGUGGUGGAUGCCUUGGCAAUGAUAGGCGAUGAAGGACGUGACAGCCUGCGAUAAGCUGCGGGGAGCCGGCAAAUGGGCGCUGAUCCGCGGAUUU
This 1170-nucleotide small RNA is filed under the name uncultured beta proteobacterium. RNAcentral's name for it is "bacterial SSU rRNA". The stretch from base 1 to 471 matches the Rfam family "Bacterial small subunit ribosomal RNA", at positions 1064 to 1533 of the family's 1533-position model. Lineage: Bacteria; Pseudomonadati; Pseudomonadota; Betaproteobacteria. The record is from RNAcentral.